This 423-nucleotide ribosomal RNA is filed under the name uncultured bacterium. RNAcentral's name for it is "bacterial SSU rRNA". It matches the Rfam family "Bacterial small subunit ribosomal RNA", at positions 207 to 622 of the family's 1533-position model. The record is from RNAcentral.
AAGACCUUGCGCUUUUGGAGCGGCCGAUGCCUGAUUAGCUUGUUGGUAAGGUAAAAGCUUACCAAGGCUUCGAUCAGUAGCUGGUCUGAGAGGACGACCAGCCACACUGGGACUGAGACACGGCCCAGACUCCUACGGGAGGCAGCAGUGGGGAAUUUUGGACAAUGGGGGCAACCCUGAUUCAGCCAUGCCGCGUGAGUGAAGAAGGCCUUCGGGUUGUAAAGCUCUUUCAGCCGGAACGAAACGGUUACGGUUAAUACCCAUGACUACUGACGGUACCGGAAGAAGAAGCACCGGCUAACUACGUGCCAGCAGCCGCGGUAAUACGUAGGGUGCGAGCGUUAAUCGGAAUUACUGGGCGUAAAGGGUGCGCAGGCGGUUUUGUAAGUCAGAUGUGAAAUCCCCGGGCUUAACCUGGGAACU